Molecule: ribosomal RNA, 251 nt
Filed under: uncultured prokaryote
Description: partial 16S rRNA
Rfam family: Bacterial small subunit ribosomal RNA
Source: RNAcentral
ACGGGGGGUGCAAGCGUUGUUCGGAAUUAUUGGGCGUAAAGAGCGUGUAGGCGGCUGAAUAAGUCAGAUGUGAAAUCCCUGGGCUCAACGCAGGAAGUGCAUUUGAAACUAUGCAGCUUGAGUAGUGGAGAGGAGAGUGGAAUUCCUGGUGUAGAGGUGAAAUUCGUAGAGAUCAGGAGGAACACCGGUGGCGAAGGCGGCUUUCUGGCCCGAUUCUGACGCUAAGACGCGAAAGCGUGGGUAGCAAACAG